Molecule: long non-coding RNA, 875 nt
Organism: Seriola aureovittata
Lineage: Eukaryota; Metazoa; Chordata; Actinopteri; Carangiformes; Carangidae
Exons: 2
Source: RefSeq, a predicted model, not a curated record
CUGCAAUGUUCCUAACCUGCAAUGGAUGAUACGUUUAUAAUUUCACAUAAGUUUUUAUCACAACAGAAAUCAUCUAUAUGAAGCUCUUCAGCUGAUGCAGAGAAGGCCAGGCCAACAGACAAAGUUAAAGGACAUUCUGCCAGGCUAAUGGUUCAGAUUAACCUCAAUUUGGCAAAUUUGGUUUUACAGUCUGAUAGCAUGUGACUGAUGGAUGCCUCCGGUUACUGCAUCUUCUUACUGCCCGGGGAUAAGGUAUCUGCAUGUGAAGUACACUCAGCGAUUAAAGAGCUCAAACAGACGACGAUGAGAGAAGAAUAGUUCUUUAAAGCAAUUUUCCUGCAUUCCAUCCUCCCGAGAGUCACUUCUCUUAUGAUGUAAAACUGCUUCAGUCAGCACACACCUUUUACAAAAGAUCUUCAGAGAUCUCUUGUAUGAUGCCUCGUGCAUAGCUGCUGUAUCUACCAGUAUAACGUCACAUUUAGAAACACUACAAGCACUCCAUCCACCACAGGGUGCAUUGGUGUUUGGGACUAUUUUGAGCUGUGGACUAAUACACAUUUGAUGCCCUACUGAUUAUUGGUGAUUAUUUACAGCAGCAGGAUGGUGAGGAUGCGAUCACAUCAAAAUAAACAGUUCCUGUGUUUAUGGACAAUCAUCCAUCCCCCAGCCAGCAGCUGUCUGACAGCAUGAGCUCCAGGUGCAGGCCCUCGGCACUCAGCUUUGGUUUCUGCCUCAUCACUCAUUCAUGAGGACCUUACAGGCCGCGACGGAGGCUCCUUGGCAUGCAUCGUAAAGGCCCUCAGCCUGAUACAGUAUAAUUACUGUGUUUUAAUAGAGCUACAGAUCAACAAAUAGUAUUAAAGGAUUUCCAGUGA